RNAcentral lists this ribosomal RNA (455 nucleotides) under uncultured bacterium. Its description in RNAcentral is "bacterial SSU rRNA". It matches the Rfam family "Bacterial small subunit ribosomal RNA", at positions 36 to 518 of the family's 1533-position model. The record is from RNAcentral.
CUGGCGGCGUGCCUAACACAUGCAAGUCGAGCGAUUAACUUCGGUAAAGAGCGGCGGACGGGUGAGUAACGCGUGGGUAACCUGCCUCAUACACAUGGAUAACAUACCGAAAGGUAUGCUAAUACAGGAUAAUAUAAGAGAUUCACAUGGAUUUCUUAUCAAAGCUCCGGCGGUAUGAGAUGGACCCGCGUCUGAUUAGCUAGUUGGUAAGGUAAUGGCUUACCAAGGCGACGAUCAGUAGCCGACCUGAGAGGGUGAUCGGCCACAUUGGAACUGAGACACGGUCCAAACUCCUACGGGAGGCAGCAGUGGGGAAUAUUGCACAAUGGGCGAAAGCCUGAUGCAGCAACGCCGCGUGAGUGAUGAAGGCCUUCGGGUCGUAAAACUCUGUCCUCAAGGAAGAUAAUGACGGUACUUGAGGAGGAAGCCCCGGCUAACUACGUGCCAGCCGCCGC